Molecule: ribosomal RNA, 205 nt
Filed under: uncultured bacterium
Lineage: Bacteria
Description: partial 16S ribosomal RNA
Rfam family: Bacterial small subunit ribosomal RNA
Source: RNAcentral
CGCGUAGGCGGUCAGCACAAGUCAGUUGUGAAAUCUCCGGGCUUAACUCGGAAAGGUCAACUGAUACUGUGCGACUAGAGUGCAGAAGGGGCAACUGGAAUUCUCGGUGUAGCGGUGAAAUGCGUAGAUAUCGAGAGGAACACCUGCGGCGAAGGCGGGUUGCUGGGCUGACACUGACGCUGAAGUGCGAAAGCAGGGAGCGACG